AUUUCGGCUGUCGUCGUUUUCACGUCCGUAAUAGCUGUUCGUAUGCCUAAUAAAACUAUUGGCAAGAUUUCUACACAGUUUCUCGUAUCGUGGCAUUUGAUUGCUGCUUUUAGUUGUCGGGGCAGGCGCUCUACCAUCCCGUUGGUCGCGGGCGGGGUGAUAGGCUGUCGUUCGUAAAUGCCUAAUGCCGAGGAACAGGCAUAAUUCGUUAAAUAAGUUUGAUU
Molecule: unclassified non-coding RNA, 224 nt
Filed under: Bombus terrestris (buff-tailed bumblebee)
Lineage: Eukaryota; Metazoa; Arthropoda; Insecta; Hymenoptera; Apidae
Description: misc RNA ENSBTSG00005023517.1
Source: RNAcentral